CAGCCGCCGCGGUAAUACGAAGGGUGCAAGCGUUAAUCGGAAUUACUGGGCGUAAAGCGCGCGUAGGUGGUUUGGUAAGAUGGAUGUGAAAUCCCCGGGCUCAACCUGGGAACUGCAUCCAUAACUGCCUGACUAGAGUACGGUAGAGGGUGGUGGAAUUUCCUGUGUAGCGGUGAAAUGCGUAGAUAUAGGAAGGAACACCAGUGGCGAAGGCGACCACCUGGACUGAUACUGACACUGAGGUGCGAAAGCGUGGGGAGCAAACAGGAUUAGAUACCCCGGUAGUCCCUGUCUCUUAUAA
This 301-nucleotide ribosomal RNA is filed under the name uncultured bacterium. Its description in RNAcentral is "partial 16S ribosomal RNA". It matches the Rfam family "Bacterial small subunit ribosomal RNA", at positions 509 to 809 of the family's 1533-position model. The record is from RNAcentral.